Molecule: long non-coding RNA, 677 nt
Filed under: Chrysolophus pictus (golden pheasant)
Lineage: Eukaryota; Metazoa; Chordata; Aves; Galliformes; Phasianidae
Description: lncRNA (ENSCPIG00010007949.1)
Rfam family: mir-15 microRNA precursor family (bases 533-616)
Source: RNAcentral
CUCCCCCAAAGCCCGAUUUCGGCUGCGAUAUUUUCGGGGCGGCGGUUUUCUGCCGAAAUCUGCCUUCGUGGCUGAAAACCGCGGGGCAGAGCAGCGCUUUGUGCCUCCAGCAAACAGAGCGGGCAGCUGAAACUCGGAGGGGAGGAGCGAAGGGUCGGCGAAUUUGCAGGAGGCUCACAAACAAAUCAAACAAACAAACAACAGCUUUGAAACGACAGCUUACGGGCAAAUAACCGUUUUCUCCCUAGAAAAACCCACGUCCGAUGGGCUCCCGUGUGGUUGGAGGCACUGGCAGGAGGAGCUGUAGCCCACGGCCAGGUGAGGGCAGUUGCAGGUUGAUAGCACCUGGAAGGCAAAAAAAAAAAACAAACCAACCCAACAAACCAACACAAAAGUCCUGAGGUGGUAAUGCAUGCAUGUUCAUGUCUUCAUGUAGAGUGUUCAUCAGUGCCUUAUGUCAUGAUUUACAAAUAAUAAUAAUAAUACCAAUAAUAAUAACCAAAAUACCAUUUGGAAUGCCAACAUUCAGUGGGCUUUGAGGAGAUGUAGCAGCACAUCAUGGUUUGUAGGGACAAGGAGAUACAGACCAUUCUGGGCUGCCUCAUUACCUCAAGGAUAAGACAAGAAAGUGAGCUUCUGGUUAUCAUAGGGGUGGAGGCUGACGUGUCCCCAUAGCC